GGUGGGGGCUGGGCUGGGGGAGCGCUCAUUAACAUUCUUACAUCAGGGCUCCUCCCCGCACCCCUUCCUUUCCCACCCCUCCGCCGUCCGUAACCCCGGCUCCCCGCUAGCCCCGGGCCUUCCCUUAAAGCCGAGGUCGCCCACGUCUGCAGGCGUGCGCCCGCGGGAGCCCCCACCGCACCAAACCGCCUCCGGGGCCCCCGCCUCUCCCCCGGCAGCACGGGCGCGCUCUCUCCAGCAUCCCGCCUUAAAAAUGAAAAUGCUUUCGAAAGUACAGGAAUGCGCGCAGGCACACGCACGCACGGACACCACGUGCAAAAAUAAACAGGAUCAGAGAAAGGAGUGGUCCUUCAAACAUGGUAGUUUCGGUGCAAACACCCGUAGGUCCGGCUCGCUCUCGCCUCUUCCUCACUCCGGCCACCUUCCCUCCUGACACCCUCCCUUCCCUGCCCCAGGCACGAGGUAAGGGAGCAGGGACCUGGGACCCUGAGCAGGCGGCCGGAUCGCGGACCUGGAGCGCCCCGCUAGGCUCAGCGUUCAGCGCACCCCUCCUCCCCGAGCCCAGGCCCGGCCCCCGCCCCCGGGCAGCGCCGGUGCCGACAGAGGUGUCCGGCAGAGGUGCCCGCUAAGCCUCCGCGUUGCGGGGAUGCCCGGCCCCGCGCACAGACCCUCGGUCUCGGUGCUGCGAGCAGGAAAGCGAAACUUGUUGCUCCCAACGGCGAGCGGAGGGUUGGGCUUCUUGAGGCGGCGAAGAGCCUGAGACGCAUCCUCAAGGCAUCCUCCGAGCUGGGUUCCCUAAGUCAGGUCUGUGAAAUAACACCGCUGCCUACAUUCAUCCUCUACUAGCCGGCAGGACAGCGUUACAUGGGAAACCUUAGCAUGUGGUUCUUUGUUAGAAAUGCCAUCAGAGCGUUUUCUCCACCAACGGUCGUCCGUCUGACCCUCUCCCCCAAAUCCUGGUGGCACCCUCUGAAGUCGGAAGGAGCCCUUCCAGGUGGUCAAAGAGCCUCCUCUUCCUGUCAAGCACUCCCUGAGGUCACUCUGGAGACUGUCCCCAAGACCGUAGCCCACAAAGAAAAUACCUUCCGAGGACGGAAUUGUUGAAAACACACUUCCCCCUAGAGGCAGAAAAGAUGAAACAAUAUUGCACAGAAUUCGGGAAUAUGUUUGUCAUGAAACGAGGGCUGAGAUCUUAUUUGUAACAUGCAGUUGGUGUUUCUGAGAAACCACUCAAGAUGUGGGAGGAAAAUCAAUGAAGAAAUUAAAACUUUGCCUCUAGGUCUUAGCUUUCCUUAGCAGGGACUCUGUUAAUUGGCCCCAUCCUUUUGUUUUGUUUUGUUUUAAUACAAAUCUAAGAUUUUUUUUGCCAGCACUAAAAA
This is a long non-coding RNA of Myotis lucifugus (little brown bat), 1379 nucleotides long. RefSeq lists it as uncharacterized. Lineage: Eukaryota; Metazoa; Chordata; Mammalia; Chiroptera; Vespertilionidae. The transcript is spliced from 2 exons. The record is from RefSeq and is a predicted model, not a curated record.